Crotalus tigris (Tiger rattlesnake) is the source of this 5239-nucleotide long non-coding RNA. RefSeq lists it as uncharacterized. The transcript is spliced from 3 exons. The record is from RefSeq and is a predicted model, not a curated record. Lineage: Eukaryota; Metazoa; Chordata; Lepidosauria; Squamata; Viperidae.
CCAAAGUCUGCUGAGAGAUUUCCUCUUUUGCUUCCUAGAAAACAACAUGACAAGAAAGGGAUCAACUGGCUCCCAAAACAGCUGCAGAGAACUUGCUAUGUUCUUCCCUGUCAGAAAGAAUACAGUACCCUGUUCCAGCUGCCAAAAUGCAUUUUAACUGUAGAAAUUGAAAUAACCUCUUUUUUUAAUUAAUCUCAACUUCUUUGGCACAUAAUAUUUUUCUAAAAUUGGGAUAAAAUUAUAACUAACAUAUUUAGCAUUAAUUACACUUUUAACAUGUCUUUAAAUAAUUUCUGUAUGAUAUAUUUGUAGUUGUCAAGAUAAGCUAUGGUAGUAUAAUGGAUAUUCUGUACUAAGUCAAUAUUUGAGUGUAAAAUGUUAGGAACAAAAUACAAGAAAGAACUGUUUACAAGGUUCUUUCAAGAAUCUAGAUAGUAUUUGGAAACAAUACUAAUUAUUUUUAUUAAAUUAUUUUUAUAUUGCUUUUCACUAUGAAAAAUCCAAAGCAGUUUACAUACAAUUUUCCUUAAAAUAUUUUAAAUAUAAAUCAGGAUAAAAACAUAUUUGUCAAAUUACAAAUUUUAGGAGGAAUCUAUAACUGGGAAAGGCUAACAUAAAAGACAGUAUUUUACAAGGUGCCUGAAAUCCAGUUUUCCACAGGCACAAAAUGAAGAAAACCUGGCUCCAUGUAACCACCGUGUCACAAUUCAUAAGCCAUGGCAGAGAAAGCAGUUCCCCCUCCCGAACAUGUUAAGCCCUGGGAGGCUGAUGGAACUGGGCACAUUCUUUAACUUAGUCCCAAGUUAAGGAUUUAUAUAUACUACCAUCUUGAAUCUAGAUUGGCCGCCUGCACAAAUUUUAUUUUUAAUGUUGGUAUAAUGAUGUGCAUGGCCUGACAAACUACUACAUUCUUUACUAGCUGCAGCUUUUAAAUCAGUCUCAAGGAUAAAGCUAUAUAGAGCAUAUUACAGUAAUCCAUUAUUGAAAUUAUUCAUGUAAAAAUUACUAUAGCAAUUUAUCUUUACUCAGAAACAGAUGCAACUGGCAUACUCCCCUAAAUUAGGAGUUGACACUAGCCAUGGAGGUCCUCUAGGCAGGACUUCUAUGGCUAGAAACAUUUAUUUUCCAUAGAGUCCAACAAAACAAAAUGUACAAAUAAUGAUUUCUCUAUGGUUAUUUCAUAUGUUUACAGCAGGAGACAGACUAUUUUGCAGCUCAAUUCUGGAAGAGAUUUCAAGAGUCUGAAAAGAUGAUUUAUUGAAGACUAGAUUAUUCUAACCAUGGUCUGGUAAGUCAGCUGAAUCUGGAAUAAUUUUUAUGAUUAAUUAACUAUUAUUAUGCUAGAAAAAUUACAUUGUGUAUGGGUCAACCACAGCAUGGAACAACACUUCUAAUAGCAUCUUUGUUGUUCUUUUUCUGUUUUUCAUUCUACAAGGCUGAAAAAAAAAUCUCUCUCAUUUCUUAAAACAAAUAGUAGUAAACAGCAUUGCAGCAAAUGCAAAGUUGCUUCAAUUAUAUGGUCAUGUUGUGCAGGGAGGUAAGUAGCCACUACAGCCACUAACUUGAUUUUCUAUUGGAUGAUUGUCAGGUUAAUACUAAGCAUAGUUCACUGUGACAUCCAAACAUCAUGUAAAACUGGCAGCCCUCAGAAUGGAAAGCAGACAGAUAUCAUUCUGAAUUUUUAAAAAAGUGUCCAGCUAUUGCCCAAUAGUUCUACUUAUAUUAAAUAUUGCAAAGUUUGAUUUUUAAUUUAUUUUCCUUCUGUUUUCAGAGCCUACAGCAAAGUGCCAUUUCUUUAACACAGAUUUUGACAGGAAACAAUGAAUUUCAUUAUCAGGUUGUCUUCGAAGACACCAGUGUUGACAGAUGUUACAAAGAUUUCAACCAAACAAUUAAAAAAACCUGAUUUGACAGAGAAUGAGUUAUUUAGGGUUUCCCAUCUUUACCUUUUCUACUGCUAAUGCACUUCAUUUUGAAUCUAAUCAAAUCAUGUCCCUAUGGACUUCAAUUGACCUGCCAUCAUCAAAACUGCAAUAAUUAAAGUAAUGUCUGAACUUAUCUAAUCCAGAGAUUUGGUUGUAAUACAAGAGAAAUAAAAAUUACUGAUAUUGUAAAAAAGGUGAAAUUAUAUCUGGGAUAGUCAACAUUUUAUUACUUUGACAUUUUUUUGCUGCUGUCUUCCAUUCUAACACAAUCUAAUGCAAAUUUACUCAGAAGAAAUCAUGCUGAGUUUAGUUUAUUCACCUUCAAUGUUUUUUUUUUUUUUUACUGUGGGCAACCCAAACUUGCUUGCACUUGUUUUGACUGUCUAUAUAGUAUUUGAGAAAAAUGUGGAUCCCUUUAAAAAAUUGUUAUAGUAUUGGCUAAAAUUUUCAAAGUUUUUGCCUCUUUUGUAGAUUCCCAAGAUGAAAUAUAGGCUACUUUGAUUUCCCUACAUACACGAACACUAAAUACUCAUGUGGUCCCUUUUACGCUUGCCUUUAUUUUACCUUAGAAAAUUUCGUGAUUAUGUUUAAAUUCAAGUAUUUGAGAAGACCAACUUCAUUUUUAUAUAACACCUUCUAUGAAAAACAGCCUUCUCUAAAAAUUGAUCCAUGCAGACUAAUUCUCCUGAGAAACAUCCCUUAAUGCUCUGCUGCAGGGAUGUCAAACUGCCGGCUCGCAGGCUGGUUACAUCAUAUGGAGGUUGUGCCCAUCCCAGCUCCAGCAAUGCAAAAAAAGUUGCGAUACGUCACGACAGGUCACAUGACACAGUGAGUUUGACAUCCGUAUUCUAUUGCAAUCACAUUCUCUCUCAUCAAUUGAUCUGUCCCUAUUCAAUUAGGGAAGGCUAGAGAUUUGUUUUUUUUGGUUUUUUAGAUUUGACAAGACUGGCAAAGCUUUACAAACUCAGGAUUCUGUCCAUAAUACAACAGAUUGAAAAUUGAAGAAUGCCUGUUACUUUGUUGAUAAAGUUGAAUGUAGAGUAAAUCUUUAGGUUUCAAAAUAUGCUGAUCUAGAAUCUACUGGAGAUAUAUACUGUAAGAAGCUUCUCUGUUGCAAAGAUUCUAUGUAUGUAGCAAAUAUUAGAUUAAAAAUUAGCCCCAUUGUUAUUGUCACUAUGUAUGAAAAAAAUCUUUAAUUAUCUAUAGUAUGAGUUAUUUAGACCAAUUUAUACAAAACAAUCUCCCUGAUUUAAUUCACCAGAGGAAAGCCACAGAAGAAACAAAAGCAGAGAUGGGUGUUCCUGUUGGCAUGAAGAUAGCUCUUUGGAAAACAAAUGCAGUAUAAUUUGAAGUUUUGCAAAUGACUUUUUCCCCUAAAACGUUUAAACAAACUUUUAUAGCUUCCCUUGGAUUUAAUUGUAUGUAGAUAUAAUGCAUUUAUUUAUAUUAUUUUCAUAAUCAUUAAUAAUUGGUUGUCAUUUUUGGCUUUGGAUUAGAUCUGUGGUUUGAGUAAAUAACUGCAAGACAGUCUUAGGACUUCCACUGGCUGGAAUGAGUGUAUUCAUGUGUGAAGCAAUAAUAUGAAGCCCAAGUAAUCUUGGGAGGCUAUUGCUGUUAUGUCUCUUGCAUAUUAUUGAAGUUGCCAAAAGCUAGAAAGCUGCUGCCACAAACUUCAUUAAUACUAAAGAUAUUAAAAUUGUUUCUGCUAUGCAACAAUAACAUCAAGAACAGCGCGUGACAAAUACUGCUUCCAUCUCUCUCGCGUUCCCUCCGAGGGCACCGCCCUAAGAACCAAGAACAGCCUGACUACGCAUGCGCACACCUCUGCUUCUUUUUCGCCGAGUGCCGCGCCGCCUUUUCCUUCCCCUCCCUCCGCAAGAACGGAUUCAAGCGUACUCGUACACAUGCGCCGACAUCAAUUGACGUGAGAGAGCAGCGGUGCCUUUCUGUGGCUUAUUGAGGCUGCAGUGCCAUCUGGCGACCAACUUCUCUGUUACGAAUUCCAGCGCAUGCGUAGUUCCUGCGGAUGUGGGCGGACGCGCGCCUCCUGUGUAGCUUACGUCACGUUUACGUAGGAGGUAGUUAGAGUACUCCGUGGGAAAAAUGGAAGGUAACACAAUUGGAUUUUAGGCUGCGAUACCUAUAUUCUGCGUUUUCCAACUCAACUGUUGCUCAGAUGUACUGGAAUAAUUGGUCCCAACAAUCACAGUCAAGAGAUUUAUACUUAUCUGAGUAACUUAUCUGGAUUAGUAUAAAAUACUAACACGUAAAGUAAAUCAGUAAUAUAAAUAUAUAAAGAUAUGAUUAUUGUGCUGGUGCAAUGAAUAAGGAUAGAAGAAUAAAAUGAAAGCGUAGAAUGUUAAUUUCAUAAGAACAGUUUAGGAUGAAAGGAUAAUUUCCUGGGAUGCAGCAGUGCAAAAUAUAAGACAAGUGGUUCAUCUCUUGCAGAUGGUACUCAGUGGUAUUGUGCCUUGAAAUAUAAAGGUCCUAUUAUGUCUUAUAGUCAUUAAUAGGGCUACUCUCUGUGUGUAUAUUGUAAUCUUUAGAUCAGGGGUGUCAAAACUGCCGGCCCAUGAAUCAUGCGGAGGCUGUGCCCACCCCAGCUCUGGCAAUGCAAAAAAAGUUGCGAUACAUUGCAAUAUGUCAUGUGACUGGUGACCCGUGCUUUAGACUUAUGAUGAUAACUGAUUCCAUACACAUCCAUAGUUAGGUGAAGUGAGUGUAAUUUAAAAUCCAGUUUCUUUUUCUGCCCUGAAUCUGAAGAUACUUUCUUUGAUUAUUCAGCAAUGGAUGUAGGCUAAAAACGCUUGGAACGCAGAACUUUAAUAGUGGUAAUAAACAGGGAAGAGUGUUUAUGUGAAAUUAAAAUGUAUAAAAAUUUUUUUGUGAUUUUUAUUUUUGAGUCAUUUGGACAGAUGAAAUAUUAGGGAUAAUAAACAAUACAAAAUACAGUACUAGCUGUUAGAUAACAUUAGAAGCACAAAGAAAAAUGUAGCUUCCUAAGUAAGCCGAUUUCAUCCCUCUAAUGUUAGGGAUAAUCAGCCUGAUGGCCUAAUGGUGAAAAUGUGCACUCAUUCAGAAGAUUGAGAGUUCAUUUCUAGAUAGCAGCAGAUAUUUCUCUCCUUGGGCUCAAAAAAAAAAAAAAAAAUUUCAAAUUCCACAUUGACAUCAGGAAGGACAUUUGGCCAGUAAAUGCUCAGCUCCAUCCAGUUACCCCAAUUCUACCCUGAAUAUGGACUACAGCAGGCAUGUCAAACUGCUGGCCCGCAGGCCGGAUGCGUCACUCCGAAACCAUGCCCACCCCAUUGCCGGCA